UACGUAGGUGGCAAGCGUUGUCCGGAUUUACUGGGCGUAAAGAGCGCGCAGGCGGUCGAUUUAGUCGCGUGUGAAAGCCCCCGGCUCAACUGGGGAGGGUCACGCGAUACUGAUCGACUCGAAGGCAGGAGAGGGUAGUGGAAUUCCCGGUGUAGUGGUGAAAUGCGUAGAUAUCCGGAGGAACACCAGUGGCGAAAGCGGCCACCUGGACUGCACCUGACGCUGACACGCGAAAGCUAGGGGAGCGAACGGG
Molecule: ribosomal RNA, 253 nt
Filed under: uncultured bacterium
Lineage: Bacteria
Description: partial 16S ribosomal RNA
Rfam family: Bacterial small subunit ribosomal RNA
Source: RNAcentral